GUCCUUGGUGUUCCCCUGGCUUUUCUCUUCUGAGAGUGAGCAGCCUUUGGAGUGAGCAGCCUUGUAUUGGCCACAAGUGCACUAAAUUUACUGUGAAUCCCAAAGCCUGCAGGGGACUACUUCCCCAAGACCAGCCAGGCCAGCUUCUCUCACCCAGAACCUUUCGAUUUGCCCUGUAUGAAAAGCCACUUUGGAAAGCCCUAUCAGUCAGUCCUAGGUAGCAACCACGGGGGGCAGAUGCUUCCUCCGCAGCUGCUGGGGAGCAGGCCUCUGUGCCCUGCCCACACUGAGCCCCAAACUUUGACCGUCUCUGAUGUCACUGCAUCACACCCAGGAGCUGCACCCGGGGGACCCAGAGGGCAGAGGCAGGACAGGGAUGGCUCUGAAUGAUGCUCCAAGGUAUGUCCUGGGGCAUGUGGGGAAGCACCCCAGUGACCCCCAGCAGCACUGCCCACCAACUGGGUGCUGUGAGCCCUGUUCCCUUUCCUUCCUCUUUCCUCCCACCCACACCAGGUGCUGCAAUCCCACCAGGCUGCCAGAUGUAGCACAGAAAAUACUCUGACAGGAAGGACACAGGCCUAGCAUUCUGGAGAUGUACCGUGUCACCUGGGGCAAGGACUUCUCAUCUCCAGCCUCAGUUUCCCCACGAGUUAAGCAAGAGAGUGACACUACAAAGCCUAGAAGUCCCCCAGCUCUGAUGUUCAAGAAGUAGGCUGGCCCCAGGCCAUCCCACAGAACAGAGAGCUUUUUUUGGAAGGAGUCCCCUGGAUGGUGGGCGACACCUCCAGGAUCCCUGUACUCCAUACCACUGCCCCUCACUGUGUCGCCUGGGGAGUCACAUUCUCCCCUGCUGCCCCUGCAACUCCGCUUUGACUGUUGUCUCCUCCCUGCAACCCCCCCCCCCAUCCUCCUAACCCAGGUCUCCCCAGCCCUCACUGGGGCAACCCUGAGACAAGCCACAGAACCUCUCAUUUGGAAAAAGGGGACAAUGAUUGCCUACCUCCCAAGGGAUCAGAGAGGCCUCUUGGCACAUCACAUGGUCAGGGAGACCACCGUUCUGGCAGGCAGGAGGGCGCCUCCUCUCUCCCCAGUGAGAAGCCCCAUUCCUAUUGUCCUCUCCGCCCCCGCCACAGGGGGGAGGGAGAGAACUGGCUGCCAGGACUGGGUCGCUUGAUUUUGCCCCAACAUUUUGCCUCUGUGGGAAAAAAAACAAAAAUCAGACCAUGAAAUGGGCCUGAAAUUCAGUGUUUACCACGUUUUGUUUUCAAAUGAAAAUGCUUUGUGCAACUGAAGAGUUACAGUGAAGUGUUAACCAGGGGUCCAGGGAGCAAGUGGACGAGAUGGAGAGUGUCUGCAGCCCGCUGGCUGCAGGGAAGGUUUGGGGGCCAUAUCCUCUGAGCACUUAAGAGCCGUCUUUGAGCUCCCUCCCUGCUGAGUGUAGGGGUGGGGAUGGACUGAGCACCCAGCCACCUCUAGGGAUGGUCUCUGUCAGUCAUCCUACUGGGCCUCCAAAGAGAAACUUUGCCAUGGUGGCAGUAUGCUAACCUCCACUGUGAGGGCAUGCCAGACAUGGGGACCGUUGGCCCAAGGAUGCCUGGGGCCUGCCAACUGGGCUGCAAAGGUAGGGAAGCCCACACCCUUAAAAGAACCGGGAUAUUCCAGAGCACAGGAGGCCAGAGCCAGCAAGAGAUGGCCUCUCACCCCAUAGUGGCCUUUUUGGCGGCCAUUGUCCUGACAUCUGUGCAGCAGGGGCUGGGCUAUCCCUCCUGGGUGGCCCUUGGAGGCUCUUCGAGGUCAGCAGGAGACACUGCUGUCUGGGCCAGUGCUGUGAGAAUUAAGUGCUCAGUGGACCUGGGAGCCCAGGAGACAAGAAAGUGUUGUGGUUUUAGUAUGUUCAAAAGGGACAACCGCUUGCAGUCAGUAGAUCUAGCGAUCUAGUUGGGAGAUAAUGGUGUUUACCCCCCAUGAAGUAUUUGAUAGCUCUACUUGUGAAUUUGUAUUUAUUUUGCAUUAUACUUGACACAGAAUUCCUUUUUUUAAAAAACAAAAAUACUAUGUGUGUAUUUUGGAAAAAAAAAACUCAUAGAUGUUAAAAUUUCUGCACAGUUACCAGUUUUUCUCACAACACUGAAUUUGGUAGCUUUUCCCGAAAAAUCUUCACAGUGAUUUUUGUCUGUAUAUAUUUGAGGGCCUUUUUUUUAAAAAAAAAAAAAGAAAGAAAAAAGAAAAAGAAAAGAAAAAUAUGUUUGCCUGAUUUUUUUGAGACAAAAAAAAAAGAGAGAGAGAGAGAGAGAGAGGCAUUUUCAAAAUUUCAGAGCUUUCAGGAGGGCAAUAGAAUAUCAAAGAAAGAUUUCUGGAAGUAUUUUGCAAACCUUCUGGUUGAGCAGCAAGAAAAUAUUUAUGGUGAGAAGUUUUCUUUUUUCUUUUUCCUGUUAUGGUUUUGGAUUUUUUUUUUUUUACUAUGCUUUUGUCCUGUAAAAAGUAUGCAACUGAACUACAUUAAGAAGGAAAUAUUGUCUACAUAGAAUAUUAUAUGAAGUUGGUACAUAAUUCUGAUGAGAAAAAAAAAUCUUUGCAAUUCUCUAAGCCAUGUUAUUGUUAUUCUGUUAUUGUUUUCCAUGGAUGAAAAUAUCAGUAUUAAGUAGCCAGCAUAUUAUUCAAAUGUUUAGACUUAUUAAUAUGUUCUUGUCCUGUAUUUAUACGUAUGUGUAUUUUGGAAAGUAUUCCCUUUUUUAAGGGGAGCUAUUAUUAGAUACAUAUCGAAAAAGGGAACCGUGACCCCUUUGUGCCUCUUCCGCUGAGGAUAACAAGCACAGAGUUGUAAUCUCUCUUCCCACACCUCCUUGCUAGGAGCUUGUCAUUACAGUUUGAUUAAUUUCAUGGGCAGCGCGGGGAAUGGACAGGGGAAGAGGGAAGCAUUUGAUGACCUAGCCCCUCCAGGGUCUGCCACCCCUUGGCCCGGUCCGCAGUGCCCAAGGAGGGAAGAGGAAAAAGCAAGCAAGAGUCCCCAAGGCCCCUCUCUGGAGCUUUCUCAUCUGAGCCGGGUCUCGCCCCAAGCUCUUUGAACUUGGAAAUGUCAACGGAGCCAUUACGCCUGCCCUCCAGCAUCUAAUCAACUUGAAUCUACUCUAAACAAAUAUUUAAUCCAGCCUCACUACAUUCUAGCCCAGUGCAACAACUAACCCUGAAUUGUGGGGUGUUCCAGCCUCCAAAGAGGUGGCUGAGCUCCCGGACCCUGGGGCUGGGAGGCUGGUGGCAGCGGGGAUCUUUGCUCUCAUGGCCAAACUCACUGUUGGACCUCCUCCACCCCCCAGAUGGUGACCCUGUCCGUGUCUGUGUCUGUUCAUGUGUGUGUGUGUGUGUGUCCAGCUAAGAAGACAAACAGAACCCGUGGGCCUGGCUCGAGGGCGCGAGGGCCAGCCCCCCGCUUCCCCCGGGGCCGCCCGCGGGGUGGCAUUCCGUUGUGUGCCUUACUCCUGGAGACUGUACGGCUUGCCUAAGGAAAUGUAGCCUUCCGCGCUGUAUUAAAAGGAUUUUGGAAAGCAAAGAGGCUGGGGGUUUCCUUGUUU
This 3569-nucleotide long non-coding RNA is filed under the name Marmota monax (woodchuck). The record is from RNAcentral. Lineage: Eukaryota; Metazoa; Chordata; Mammalia; Rodentia; Sciuridae.